CCUCUGAUGGGUCCUGCCGCGUUUGCAGAAGCAACAAUAAGGGAGGGAGAGGGGGAGCCCAAGGUAGAGGGAGUCCUGCGGCAGUGGUGUCCCUCUGUCGUCCUCCACCCAGGGCUGAGCUCAGUGCCUCCCGUGUGCCAGGCGCAGGACAGAACACCGACAGAGCUCCCGGCUGUCUUUCCCAGGGCUCGGCCGGUGGGCCUGAAGGUUUGAUCUCCAGGCUUAGCUGUGCGUCACUUCCUGCCAGGAAGUCUGGGACUCUGUGCACCAGAGUGUUUUCGGAGAAGGAUACUAGGAUUACACACCCCUCCAAAUGAUCCUCAGCUCAACUCCAUUUGGCUCUUUGAGGUGGGGAUCAGACACUGAGCUAGCAAGCAUGCUGUUUAUUUGGUGGGGGCGGUAAGGAGAGGAGGGCUCUUCCUGGAGUCUGGCAGAUGAGCCAAGCAGAGAAGCGGGGCUGGGGAUGCGGGGCCUCCUCCUUCAGUGGGCUCUCCACUGCUGGGUGCAGCCUAUGCCUGGCCCCCCCUCAGCAGGCCCGGGAGAGGUUGAGUCACUGAGGACUGUUGUCUCGCCAGUGGCCCAACUAGGUAGAGUGUGUCCCCAGAGCAGUGGUCCUCAGGCUGAAGCAUCGCCUAGAG
This 638-nucleotide long non-coding RNA is filed under the name Equus caballus (horse). Its description in RNAcentral is "lncRNA (ENSECAG00000057975.1)". Lineage: Eukaryota; Metazoa; Chordata; Mammalia; Perissodactyla; Equidae. The record is from RNAcentral.